CUUUUAAAAAAUGUGCUUUUUUAAAAAAAAUUUUCCAUGUAUUAGAUAUUUUACUGUAACAAUAAAUAGUUUAUGUAAAAAAUGCUUUUCAUGGGAAGAGCUCCAUGGAGGCAUUUACUAAAGUAAUACGUGUACUGCUGCCUACCUGGGCAGCCUAAAGGCAUGCAUUCUGUUUCUUGCCAUACUCUCAUACAGUAGAAAAGAGCAAGGUACAUGUGGCUCAGGGCAGCUCCAAAAGGAGAUCUGAAGACUUCAAGGAGGAGUAUUUGAAGACUCAUCAAAGGGAACCAUCAAGAGAACAGUGAACUGAUAAGACAAGGCAUUCCAUUCAUAGCUUUUCUCAUCACUAACUUAUCUAUGCCUUGGCCC
Molecule: long non-coding RNA, 369 nt
Filed under: Bos taurus (domestic cattle)
Lineage: Eukaryota; Metazoa; Chordata; Mammalia; Artiodactyla; Bovidae
Description: long non-coding RNA NONBTAT020456
Source: RNAcentral